AACGAACGCUGGCGGCAGGCUUAACACAUGCAAGUCGAACGCACCUUUCGGGGUGAGUGGCAGACGGGUGAGUAACGCGUGGGAAUCUACCCUUCUCUACGGGAUAGCUCCGGGAAACUGGAAUUAAUACCGUAUACGUCCUGAGGGAGAAAGAUUUAUCGGGGAAGGAUGAGCCCGCGUUGGAUUAGCUAGUUGGUGGGGUAAAGGCCUACCAAGGCGACGAUCCAUAGCUGGUCUAAGAGGAUGAUCAGCCACAUUGGGACUGAGACACGGCCCAAACUCCUACGCGAGGCAGCAGUGGGGAAUAUUGGACAAUGGGCGCAAGCCUGAUCCAGCCAUGCCGCGUGAGUGAUGAAGGCCCUAGGGUUGUAAAGCUCUUUCAGUGGGUACGAUAAUGACGGUACCCACAGAAGAAGCCCCGGCUAACUUCGUG
This 433-nucleotide ribosomal RNA is filed under the name uncultured bacterium. RNAcentral's name for it is "partial 16S ribosomal RNA". It matches the Rfam family "Bacterial small subunit ribosomal RNA", at positions 29 to 507 of the family's 1533-position model. The record is from RNAcentral.